AUGUACGCUCGCGUCGCCGUCGAGGAGGACGACGCCGUGCUGCUGGGGGAGAUCGCCCGGUGCGGCGGGGACUUGGCCGCCGCGUGCUCUAGCGACGGCACCACCCCGCUGCACCGCGCCGUCCUGGACGGAAACGCCAGGAUGGUCAGGGUCCUGCUAGAGCACGGCGCUGAUCCUGACAGGGUGGACGCCCGCGGGUUGACGCCGACGGCCUUGGCCGACCGCCACGCCCACACCGACAUUCAGCAGCUGUUCGCGUCGCACCGCCACCAGGACCAGCAGGGAGCGCCGAAGCCCUCGUCGACGGAGGAGGGCGUCGCCGUGGCGCCAGCGGCUCCGCAGGUCACGAGGUUCAGGAGCGAGCCGUCGGCGAGAGUACUGCCACCCAGCGGUAGCGUCGGGUCGUCGCCGUCGCCGAACCGGGCGGGCCCCCAGUCAAACUCCUCGUCGGCGCGCAGCACGCCGCAGCGGAUGGCCAGCUUCCGGAACUCCCUCUUUGGCGUCAUCUCCUCGUCGUUCCACGGAAACCGACUCGACGGCGGCGGCGGUACGAGCUUCCUCCAUCGCCACGAGAGGAAUCCGAUCAGCUCGCACGUCCGGGUGACCAUCUCGUGCCCUGAACAGGGGCGGGGCGAGAGGAGGCUGCUCGUGUUCGUGCCGGAGACGAUGCUGCAGCUGCUCGAGCUCGGGGGGAACAGAUUCGGGUUCGCGGCGACGAGGGUAAUAACGAGCGACGGCGCCGAGAUCGACGACGUGAGACUCGUCAGGGACGGCGACCACCUCCUCCUAGUCUCAGAUCAGUGGGUUCCCGACACUACCAGCGGGCAUAGGAAACAAUAA
RNAcentral lists this ribosomal RNA (840 nucleotides) under Triticum aestivum (bread wheat). RNAcentral's name for it is "partial small subunit ribosomal RNA". The record is from RNAcentral. Lineage: Eukaryota; Viridiplantae; Streptophyta; Magnoliopsida; Poales; Poaceae.